AGAUUGAACGCUGGCGGCAGGCCUAACACAUGCAAGUCGAGCGGUAGAGAGGUGCUUGCAUCUCUUGAGAGCGGCGGACGGGUGAGUAAUGCCUAGGAAUCUGCCUAGUGGUGGGGGAUAACGUUCGGAAACGGACGCUAAUACCGCGUACGUCCUACGGGAGAAAGCGGGGGACCUUCGGGCCUCGCGCCAUUAGAUGAGCCUAGGUCGGAUUAGCUAGUUGGUGAGGUAAUGGCUCACCAAGGCGACGAUCCGUAACUGGUCUGAGAGGAUGAUCAGUCACACUGGAACUGAGACACGGUCCAGACUCCUACGGGAGGCAGCAGUGGGGAAUAUUGGACAAUGGGCGAAAGCCUGAUCCAGCCAUGCCGCGUGUGUGAAGAAGGUCUUCGGAUUGUAAAGCACUUUAAGUGGAGAAGGUUGUAACCUAAUACGUUGCAACUUUGACGUUACCGACAGAAUAAGCACCGCUAACUCGUGCCAGCAGCCGCGUAAC
RNAcentral lists this ribosomal RNA (496 nucleotides) under uncultured soil bacterium. RNAcentral describes it as "bacterial SSU rRNA". It matches the Rfam family "Bacterial small subunit ribosomal RNA", at positions 26 to 524 of the family's 1533-position model. The record is from RNAcentral.